This is a non-coding RNA of Myotis lucifugus (little brown bat), 64 nucleotides long. Lineage: Eukaryota; Metazoa; Chordata; Mammalia; Chiroptera; Vespertilionidae. The record is from Rfam.
GGCCUCCCUCUGUGGGGCGAUCAAUCGCAGGGCUCCAAGAUCGAUCGCCCUGCAGAGGGAGGCC